UGAGCUUUUUCUACCCAGUCCGUC
RNAcentral lists this non-coding RNA (24 nucleotides) under Arabidopsis thaliana (thale cress). Lineage: Eukaryota; Viridiplantae; Streptophyta; Magnoliopsida; Brassicales; Brassicaceae. The record is from RNAcentral.